AUGAUAUUGAUAUUUAGUGUUGCCAACUGCUAUUAUCACUGCUUUAUCUUGGAAAGUUGCCGACUAUAAAGACAGAUUCCAGCCUGCUUGAGUUAAGGGAAAGGCCAAGGCUGCUACUGAAUUAGCAGUUUCUAAAACUGUCUUGUUUUUGCCAUUUACCAUAUGUUCACUGGUGCUGCCUUCCUGCUGUAGUAUAAUCAUUUUCUCAAAUCAGUUGCCUCUCAGGACAAGAUCAGCAUUUUCCUAGGGUCCUUCUGUAGCACCACUUAAGGAAUGAACCUAUCACAGGAACUCCCUUUGAAUAAAAUGAUGGUGACUCCCA
This 322-nucleotide long non-coding RNA is filed under the name Homo sapiens (human). RNAcentral's name for it is "non-protein coding lnc-VCL-2:1". The record is from RNAcentral. Lineage: Eukaryota; Metazoa; Chordata; Mammalia; Primates; Hominidae.